UAGGGAAUAUUAGAAAUGGACGAAAGUCUGAUCUAGCAACACCGCGUGUGCGAAGAAGGCCUUCGGGUUGUAAAGCACUUUUUGGAAGGAUUAGGAAGGAAUGUACUUCCAGAAUAAGUCUCGGCUAACUACGUGCCAGCAGCCGCGGUAACACGUAGGAGGCAAACGUUAUCCGGAUUUACUGGGCGUAAAGCGCGUGUAGGUGGUUCUGUAAGUAGGGCGUGAAAGCUCCUGGCUCAACUGGGAGAGGCCGUUCUAAACUGCAGA
This 267-nucleotide ribosomal RNA is filed under the name uncultured bacterium. RNAcentral's name for it is "partial 16S ribosomal RNA". It matches the Rfam family "Bacterial small subunit ribosomal RNA", at positions 355 to 639 of the family's 1533-position model. The record is from RNAcentral.